Long non-coding RNA from Ailuropoda melanoleuca (giant panda), 184 nucleotides. RefSeq lists it as uncharacterized. The record is from RefSeq and is a predicted model, not a curated record. The transcript has 3 exons. Lineage: Eukaryota; Metazoa; Chordata; Mammalia; Carnivora; Ursidae.
AGAAAAUACACUGCAAGAAAACCUGGAAUCCUGUAAGUAACAGUUUUUUGGAAACUUCAGGAGGAUGGAAUGAGACUUAUGGCAACUGAGGGACGUUGAGCAAUGUGGCAGUCAUUACAGAUCAACCUGAUGAGAGACAAUGGAGGAAAAAAUGGACCAAAAAAUCACCAACACAUUCUUUUAU